This is a small nucleolar RNA of Nycticebus coucang (slow loris), 123 nucleotides long. RefSeq annotates it as small nucleolar RNA SNORA11. Lineage: Eukaryota; Metazoa; Chordata; Mammalia; Primates; Lorisidae. The record is from RefSeq and is a predicted model, not a curated record. The transcript has a single exon.
GGGAUACGCGCAGAGCAGGGCCUGAAGAAAGGCUCUUUACAACACACCCAACAGGAAUCCGGGGUCAAUGUAACAAAGGGGCACAAAGCUUAUGGCUUCCCUAUGAAAAAAUGCUCUGUACGU